CUCAGUUCCUUGUAAUUUUUACAUGCUAAGUUACUUAGUAGCUUUGUUGUUAUUUUUUGCUUGUUUCCUUUUAUUUUUCUUGAAGGUUCUCAGCAUUUAAUGACUUGUUUGGGUGAGAUUGUUACACGUGCUGGAAAUAGUGCUGCAAGGACACACGUGGAUCCUCCAGCAGUGGCUGAGUUAGCAACGUAAUGAAUCUCUCAGUGCUGUGGCUUCCUGGCUCCCCUGGGAUCUGGUUGAAACAGAAGCAUCUAAAAAGCAUCCAGAGAGGUCUGCAGAUCCAAUGGAAACGGGAGCUUCUGUGCACUUCUGCAAUGCUCUGCCUAAAUCCUCUACUCUCCAGUGGUGAGGAGCCUCUUGGUUGGCCACAGCACCAUUCCAAGGAGGGAAGAAUUACCCUGCCUUUCUACCAGCCUGCUCAGCUUUGGCUGCUGUGAUGGGAGUUUUGGUCAGGUGGGACUGUUUUGGGAAAGGGGUGAACCCUCAGCUAGAAAUCUUUCCUUGGCGUCCUCCUGCUCUCCCCUGUCUUAGUGGGGAAUGAGAGGAGAAUCAUGAGGAAAGCUUUGCAGAUCAUCGUGGGGUAUCUGGCAGAGCUGUCUGUACUGUUAUUGUUUCUUGUACAACAUUCUGGUGUUGGAAAUUGCUCCUCGUGUUCUGCAUGGUCUGUUGGUGUUUGCUUCUCUCAGUGAAUUACAGCUGGGGUAGGUGGGGUUGCUCUUUCUUCUCUGAUUAUUGAUUUUUGCUUUGCAUUUUAAGUUCUUUCUUGUGACCCCCAGUAGUCUGGAAGAACUGAUAAACCUGGGUGACCUCCAGACCUGCAUGUCUGUUCUGUAUGGACAGGAGGCACUGCUAUUGCUCUGACCACAUUCUGUGCAAGUGGCCUAUUCUGCAACCCACUUGUUUGUUUGAAAAGUAGCCUUGAUGCUACUUCCUGACACUGCAAAGGUCCUGAGCAUUAGUCACAGGGGGUGGCAAGGUGCUCCAAUGCAGUAAAAUAAGAGCAAGAAACCAGAUAAAAUAGGAUGAAUUUUUCCCCGCAACCUCUUAGCAAUUGAUCUGAAACCUCCAUCUCCAAUGGUGCUGGUGUUCUUCUGCAAGUUUGACUUGAGAACCAUAAACUCUAAUGAGUUUGAGCUGUGGGCCCAUUGCUCUAACACAGCAUCUUUGCCCCAGAUAGGAAGUCCUCUCCUC
Molecule: long non-coding RNA, 1191 nt
Filed under: Phasianus colchicus (ring-necked pheasant)
Lineage: Eukaryota; Metazoa; Chordata; Aves; Galliformes; Phasianidae
Description: lncRNA (ENSPCLG00000010179.1)
Source: RNAcentral